GAGUGAGGGCGCAAGCCCGACCUCCAACCCUUUGUCACCCGACUCUGUUGCCUCGGGGGCGACCCGGCCUUCGGGCGUCGGGGCCCCCGGCGGGCACGUAACCCUGCAUCUUUGCGUCCGAGUAAACAUUUGAAUCAAUCAAAACUUUUAACAACGGAUCUCUUGGUUCU
This 170-nucleotide unclassified non-coding RNA is filed under the name rhizosphere metagenome. Its description in RNAcentral is "partial ribosomal RNA internal transcribed spacer region". The record is from RNAcentral.